CCUACGGGUGGCAGCAGUGGGGAAUAUUGGGCAAUGGGCGCAAGCCUGACCCAGCAACGCCGCGUGAAGGACGAAGGCUUUCGGGUUGUAAACUUCUUUUAAGAGGGAAGAGCAGAAGACGGUACCUCUUGAAUAAGCCACGGCUAACUACGUGCCAGCAGCCGCGGUAAUACGUAGGUGGCAAGCGUUGUCCGGAUUUACUGGGUGGAAAGGGCGUGUAGCCGGGCUGACAAGUCAGAUGUGAAAUUCAGGGGCUCAACCCCGGCCCUGCAUUUGAAAAUGUUGGUCUUGAGUAUCGGAGAGGCGGGCGGAAUUCCUAGUGUAGCGGUGAAAUGCGUAGAUAUUAGGAGGAACACCAGUGGCGAAGGCGGCCUGCUGGACGACAACUGACGGUGAGGCGCGAAAGCGUGGGGAGCAAACAGGAUUAGAUACCCCAGUAGUC
Molecule: ribosomal RNA, 442 nt
Filed under: uncultured bacterium
Lineage: Bacteria
Description: partial 16S ribosomal RNA
Rfam family: Bacterial small subunit ribosomal RNA
Source: RNAcentral